Molecule: ribosomal RNA, 527 nt
Filed under: Dynamenella ptychura
Lineage: Eukaryota; Metazoa; Arthropoda; Malacostraca; Isopoda; Sphaeromatidae
Description: partial 16S ribosomal RNA
Rfam family: Bacterial large subunit ribosomal RNA
Source: RNAcentral
UCGCCUGUUUUAUCAAAAACAUCGCUGGAAAAAAUUUUCAGUCAGAUNUGCCCAGUGAAGUUUUAACGGCCGCAGUACCCUAACUGUGCUAAGGUAGCGUAAUCACUAGCCUUUUAAUUGAAGGCCCGUAUGAACGAUUCGACGAAAAACUCUCUGUCUCAGAGCAACACGCAACUUACUACGGAAGUAAAAAAGCUUCCUUCCAUUAAAAGGGCGACAAGACCCUACAAAACUUUACUCUUCACGGCUUCCCUCUCAGAGUUAAUUUCAAUUCCGGCACGAGUUUCGCUGGGGCGGUGAAACAUUAUACCAACAUCUUUCACCCUAACGUCAUUAACGAUUUUCACGAACUUAUUAACCCAAGCCCAAGUUACUUUAGGGAUAACAGCGCAAUGGGGUUUUAGAGACCACAUCGACAGCCCCGCUUACGACCUCGAUGUUGAAUUGAAAUCCCUCGGUAGAGCAAAAACUACUCAAGGAAGUCUGUUCGACUUUUAAACUUUUACAUGAUUUGAGUCCAAACCGGA